This 61-nucleotide small nuclear RNA is filed under the name Pelodiscus sinensis (Chinese soft-shelled turtle). RNAcentral's name for it is "U4 spliceosomal RNA (ENSPSIG00000019823.1)". It matches the Rfam family "U4 spliceosomal RNA", at positions 19 to 77 of the family's 138-position model. From Rfam's summary of the family: U4 small nuclear RNA (U4 snRNA) is a component of the major U2-dependent spliceosome. The structure of U4 snRNA from yeast and human has been reported. U4 snRNA presents a k-turn RNA motif in the 5p-SL related to recognition of Snu13 protein. The record is from RNAcentral. Lineage: Eukaryota; Metazoa; Chordata; Testudines; Trionychidae.
CGUAUCGUAGCCAAUGAGGUUACUCCGAGGCGCGAUUAUUGCUAAUUGAAAACUUUUCUAU